This 24-nucleotide microRNA is filed under the name Rosa chinensis. Its description in RNAcentral is "sRNA RchiOBHm_Chr2g0104045". Lineage: Eukaryota; Viridiplantae; Streptophyta; Magnoliopsida; Rosales; Rosaceae. The record is from RNAcentral.
UUUGAAGUCUGACCCAAGAAUGGU